This 535-nucleotide ribosomal RNA is filed under the name uncultured Acidobacteriota bacterium. Its description in RNAcentral is "bacterial SSU rRNA". It matches the Rfam family "Bacterial small subunit ribosomal RNA", at positions 8 to 522 of the family's 1533-position model. Lineage: Bacteria; Pseudomonadati; Acidobacteriota. The record is from RNAcentral.
AGAGUUUGAUCAUGGCUCAGAAUCAACGCUGGCGGCGUGCCUAACACAUGCAAGUCGAACGCGAAAGCCCCGCAAGGGGCAAGUAGAGUGGCAAACGGGUGAGUAACACGUGGGUGACCUGCCUUCGAGUGGGGGAUAACGUCCCGAAAGGGACGCUAAUACCGCAUGACAUCCCGCCUUUGAACAGGCGGAGAUCAAAGCUGGGGAUCGCAAGACCUGGCGCUCAAAGAGGGGCCCGCGCCUGAUUAGCUAGUUGGUGGGGUAAUGGCUCACCAAGGCAUCGAUCAGUAUCCGGCCUGAGAGGGCGGACGGACACACUGGGACUGAGACACGGCCCAGACUCCUACGGGAGGCAGCAGUGGGGAAUUGUUCGCAAUGGGCGCAAGCCUGACGACGCAACGCCGCGUGGAGGAUGAAGACCUUCGGGUCGUAAACUCCUUUCGAUCGAGACGAAUGGCUUCCGGGUGAAUAGCCCGGAGGAAUGACGGUACCGAGAGAAGAAGCCCCGGCUAACUCCGUGCCAGCAGCCGCGGUA